UUUUUUUUUCUUUUUAGGGCCAUGUGGAAAUUCCCAGGCCAGGGGUCUAAUUGGAGCUGCAGCUGCUGUCCUAGACCACAGCCACAGCAACUUGGGAUCCAAGCCAUGUCUGCGACCUACACCACAGCUCACAGCAACAUCAGAUCCUUAAGCAGGGCCAGGGAUUGAAACCACAUCCUCAUGGAUGCUAGUUGGGUUUGUUACUUUUGAGCCACAAUGGGAACUCCCCAUUGCGGGAGUUUAAAAUUAAAAUCAGAUUUGUCAUUUUUAUUUUUUUAUCUUUAAGUGAUUUGAUCACUUAGGUCUGUUGGACACUAAGUCUUAUUUACUUUACCAUUAAACAAUGUGGCCUUCCCAGGUAGGUGGUUUGUAACACUGUACUUUUUUUCUUCCAAUACUGACCUGUAUGCAUCUGCUUAUGUACAGUUGUGUAAACAAAUAAGCCCCAAAGCACAAAUAGGCCACUCUCAGCAUCUUAUGUGGAAAUUUGAGGGGCAGCAAAGUAGGCUCGUGUGGCUAAAUUGAGGGAAAUGAGGCAGAGAGUAAUGUAAGGGACCGGAUUAAUAAAAGAAGACCAGCUUUUAUAGGAGCUUAUAGAUCUUUUACCUAUGGGCUUUUGCUCUGAACGAAAAGUACAGCUAUUGCAGAGUUUUGAACAGAUUGGACUGAAGGGCUUAGCAGUAUCUUUCCGGCUACUGGGUUGAAACUAGACAGUGGGAAGUCAAGGGUAGAAACAGGGGAACCAUUAGACGAUAUACUAAUUCCUUAGGACCAUAACAAAAUGCCACAAACCGGGUGUCUUAAAACAAUAGAAAUUCAUCUCACACUUCUGAAAGCUAGGGAUCUGAAAUCAAGGUGUCCUUAGGGCCAUUCUCCUUCUGAUUCUUUGGUUAGAAUCCUUCCUUGCCUCUCCUUAGCUUCUGGUGGUGGCUGUUGAUCCUUAGAAUUCCUUGGCUGGCAUCUGCAGCACUUCUGUCUGGGCCUCGCUCAUCACACGGCUUUCUCCCUGUAGGUUUCUGCCUUUGUGUGACUACCUUGUCUGUGUCUCUCUCCUGUUCUUUGGAGGAUACCAGCCAUAUUGGAUUAAGGGCCCAUCCUGCUCCAGUAUGACCUCAUCUUAACUUACUGAAUUACAUCUGCAUUGAUUCUAUUUCCAACUAAGCUCACAUUCUCAGGUAUUGAGUGUUGCAACUUCAACAUCUUUUGGGUGACACCUGUAAGCCCUUAACAGGAGGAUAUUGUGGUACUCUAAGCAAGAGAUAAAGGGAAACUUGGCCAGGGUGGCAGCAAUAGUGGUAGAGAGAAAUGAUCUAGUUAUGAGAAUAUGUUAAAUGUAGAGCCAAAAAGCUUUGCUGAUGAAUAGAGAUUGAGGCCUAAAUAAAGAAAUGAUCAAAGAUGACUCCAAGGUGUUUGACUUGAGGAACAUGAAGGAUGAAGCUAGCAACGACUGAGCUGGUAAAUGCAGAAGAGUCAAAUUAGGGGGAAAUCAUGAUUUGAUUUUGGACAAAUUAAAUUUGAGAUGCCUAUUAGGCAUUCAAGUGAAUAUGUCUAGUAUAGUAGGCAGUUAGCUCUAUGAGCCUGGAAUUCGGGAAAGACUUCCAGUUAGAGACAGAAAUUUGGGAGUGAUGUCUAGAAAGCAUGAGAGCCCACUUAGAAUUUGAAGUCAUGAAGCUUAAAAUGAAAUUUAUGGCAUCUAGGAUCAGUUGCUAGGGUGCGUAUUUAGAGAUGGAAAGUUGAAUUUAAUCUUGGUUCAGGUGUUUCCAGGUAAGUAUGAUGGUGGGAAAUGGAGUUGGGGAGUUGAGGAUGGGUUCCUAGGAGUGAUUAUAAUAAUGGUCUAUGCAAUCUAAGCAGGAUAAACAUGGAAAUGAGGAUAUAAGGGAGCAAAAAAUGGUGGGGAGGAUUGUUGGAGAGGUGGCAUUAAAGGGAAUUAGAAAAAGAGGAGAGUGGCAGGCUUAAAACUGAGAUUUUGGAGAGUUCCACCUGUGGUGCAGUGGAUUAACAAUCUGACUGCAGUGGCAUGGGUUGCUGUGGAGGUGAAGUUUCAAUCCCUGGCCUGGUGCAGUGGGUUGAAGGAUCUGGCAUUGCUGCGUAGCUGCAGCUGUGGCUUCAUUUGCUCUCUGGCCCAAGAAUUUCCAUAUGCUGCAGGUGCUGCCAUAAAAAGAUAAAAAAAUGAGAUUUUUAAGGUGAUGUGCUAAUUUGUAAUGAAAAGGGCUAGGAAAUGAGUAUGGGCAUGGGUGGCUGGGGUUGGUAAGAGGACAAGAUCUUUGAGUAGAAGUCAAGCAAUUGAGAGCCCAAGGUAUUAUAUGGAUUGUUUAUAAUGUAGACAAUGUAUGUAUGUAGACUCCACAUCGAUAUUGAAAUCUCCAAGAAUGAUUACAUGAGCAGUUGUGAGAAAGAGUGAGCUCUGAACUAAAGUCAUCAGUGGGUAAGGGAGCUUGAGCAGUAGGAGAGUGGAUAACUGCAACAAGGAGGCACAGUAGGCCGUAGAGUCUGAUAGCAAACCGACUGAAAGGAGCCAAGCCAGGGGGUUUAGGGAGGAUCCAUGGACAGAAAGUGCCAAGUAGGAGCAGGGGCACAUACCCCACCUCUGUGUUCAGUGGUACACUGGGCAUGAGAAAAACAUGGCCAGCACUUGAGAGGGUUGUACAGGAAGCAGGAUCCUCAGAGGGGAGCCAACUUCUUGAUAAACCAAGAAGUUCAAGGGAAGUUUUGGAGACGUUAGGGAUGUUGGGGAUUUUUCCAGAGAGCAGGAAAGAAGGGUUUGGAAGGCUUGGGGAGGGGUGGUAGACUGAGCCAGAUUAGGGGAUGUACAAAUUCAUUGUCAAGUGGAAAAGAAUGUGAGUGAUAAUGGGUGAUCCAGGUGGUUUGAACUUUUUGUGAUGACUGAGGGGAACGGGCAUUUAGAGCAUGAUGAGUCCUUGUGAUCUCUUGGCUGGGGACAGAUGGUCAGUUUGAAAUGUAGCCUCUUCUUGAGAAUGGUGUCUUUUGUAGUACCUAGUGGUUGAUAACAGCUACUAUGGGGGAAGUGGAGUGGUGGUGUCACAAGGAGCACGCGGAACAGUGGGCCCCUCUUUAAUCUUUUCCAGAGAGGUGUCAAACCUGGAGGAGGCUUGAUCUUACCAGGAGGGAUUGUAACCCUCAGGGCCUCCCUUUUAAUCCUGUUGGAUAAUUGCAAUACUUCCUUUAUUUCUUUUAUUUUUCAUAGGCUGCUCAUCACUUUAAAAUAGUACAGUAGCACAGUGGUGUUUGUUUUUAUAAAUAUGAUACAUGAUUAUUAUAAAAUAUUCAUCUAAUUGAGAAAAAUGAAGUUUUAAAAAAAGCCCUCCAUAAAUAACCAUCACACGGAGUUCCCGUCGUGGCGCAGUGGUUAACGAAUCCGACUAGGAACCAUGAGGUUGCGGGUUCGGUCCCUGCCCUUGCUCAGUGGGUUAACGAUCCGGCGUUGCCGUGAGCUGUGGUGUAGGUUGCAGACUCGGCUCGGAUCUCGCGUUGCUGUGGCUCUGGUGUAGGCCGGUGGCUACAGCUCCGAUUCAACCCCUGGCCUGGGAACCUCCAUAUGCCGCGGGAGCGGCCCAAGAAAUAGCAACAACAACAACAACAACAAAAAGACAAAAAGACAAAAAGACAGAAAAAAAAAAAAUAACCAUCACUAAAACUUGGUGAACAUCAUCUCAGACAGCUAUAUGAAUUUUACAUUUGUAGCUAUUUUAUAUGUUUGGGGGUUUCUUUUAAAUAAUAUGGAUCCGUUGUUAUAAACAGUUUGAAUUCUAUAGAUUUACUCUAAUUCUCUUUACAAAUGAGGACAUUGAGUUCUAGAGAUAGGAAAAGACCCGUCCAAGGUCAUUCGUUCAGCCAGUUAGAUCUAGGUCUCUUCACUCCCCAGUUCAGUGGGGUUUUUUUCCCCCCAUUAAACUAUACCCCUCCUUUCUUUAUUUACCAUUUACAUGACAACCACCUGCUCUCUUAUCAUAUAGAUAUCUGAGUGGCUCACUUUGUGUUUUGAUCUGAACAUUCAUUUAUUUAGUUGUUCAACAAAUAUUUAUCGAACACUUACUAUGUGUCAGGAAAAAAUGACAGCUGCUGGGGAUGUGGUGGUGAACAAAGCAGACAAGAUCUCUGACCUUGUGACACUUAUGUUCUACAGAAUGCACAGAAAGUUUAUGCUUCACUCCCCAACUUUUUCCAAUCAGGCCAAGACUCAUAUAACUAUGAUUUGUUUAUAACAUGAAAUCCUUCAGUGAUGAUGGGAAAACAAAAUGGAAGAUGUUUAGACUUAAAAUCAUACCACUAGCACGUGAGAGUAACAACUGAAUGGACGUUUCUCCAAAGAAGACAUACAGAUGCCAACAGACACAUGAAAAGAUCUUCAACAUCGGAGUUCCUGUUGUGGCCAAGUGGGUUAAGAACCCUACAUGGUGUCCAUGAGGGUGUGGGUUUGAUCCCUGACCUUGCUCAGUGGGUUAAAGAUCCAGCAUUGCUACAAGCUGCAGUGUUGGUUGUAGAUGUGGCUCAGAUCUGGUGUUUCCAUGGCUGUGGCAAAGGCUGCAGCUGCAGCUCUGAUUCAACCACUGGCCCAGGAACUUCCAUAUGCCUCAGGGGUGGCCAUAAAAAGGAAAAAAAACCCCAAAGGUGUUCAACAUCACUAAGCAUCAGGGAAAUGCAAAUCAAAACCACGAUGAGCUAGUACCUCACAUCUGUCAGAAUGCCUAUCCCUAAAAAGACAACAAAAUCAAAAGUUGGCAAGGAUGUAGAGAAAAGGAAACCCUUGUGCAGUGUUGAAGGGAAUGUAAAUUGGUACAACCAUUCUGGAAAACAAUACGGAGGGGUAUCUCAAAAAAUUAAAAGUAGAGCUACCAUAUGUUCCAGCAAUUCUACUUCUGGGUAUUUGUCCAAAGCAAAGGAAAACACUAAUUUGAAAACAUAUAUGCAACCUUAUGUUCAUUGCAGCAUUAUUUACAAUAGCCAAGAUAUGGAAGCAACCCAGCUGUCCACUAACAGAUGAAUGGAUAGAGAAGAUGUGAUAUAUAACUAUAUUUAUAAUGAAAUAUUACUCAGUUAUAAAAAAGAAUGAAAUUGUUCCAUUUGUGAUGACUUGGGUGGACCUAGAAGGUAUUAUACUAAGUGAAAUAAGUCACAGAGAAAGACAGGUACCAUAUGAUCUCAUUUAUAUGUGGAAUAUAAAAAACCAAACCAAUUGGGAGUUAUUGUCAUGGCUCAGCAGAAAUGAAUUUGACUGGUAUCCAUGAGGACGCAGGUUCUAUCCCUGGCUCCACUCAGUGGGUUAAGGAUCUGGUGUUGCCGUGAGCUGUGGCAUAGGCUGGCAGCGGUAGCUCUGAUUCAACCCCUAGCCUGGGAACCUCCAUAUACCACAGGUGUAGCC
Molecule: long non-coding RNA, 5380 nt
Filed under: Sus scrofa (pig)
Lineage: Eukaryota; Metazoa; Chordata; Mammalia; Artiodactyla; Suidae
Description: lncRNA (ENSSSCG00025073854.1)
Source: RNAcentral